This 497-nucleotide ribosomal RNA is filed under the name uncultured bacterium. Its description in RNAcentral is "partial 16S ribosomal RNA". It matches the Rfam family "Bacterial small subunit ribosomal RNA", at positions 28 to 507 of the family's 1533-position model. The record is from RNAcentral.
GAUGAACGCUGGCGGCGUGCCUAAUACAUGCAAGUCGAGCGAACAGACGAGGAGCUUGCUCCUCUGACGUUAGCGGCGGACGGGUGAGUAACACGUGGAUAACCUACCUAUAAGACUGGGAUAACUUCGGGAAACCGGAGCUAAUACCGGAUAAUAUAUUGAACCGCAUGGUUCAAUAGUGAAAGACGGUUUUGCUGUCACUUAUAGAUGGAUCCGCGCCGCAUUAGCUAGUUGGUAAGGUAACGGCUUACCAAGGCAACGAUGCGUAGCCGACCUGAGAGGAGGGGGAGCGACACUGGAAAGGAGACACGGGCAAGACCCCGACGGGAGGAACCAGUAGGGAAGAGUGGACAAUGGGCGCAAGCUUGAUAGAGCAAUGCCGCGUGGGUGAAGAAGGUCUUCGGGUAGUAAAGCACUGUGGGUGGGAAAGAACAGAAGAAGGUGAAUCCAGGGCCGUCAUGACGGUACCCAAAGAAGAAGCAACGGCUAAGUUCGCG